Molecule: non-coding RNA, 844 nt
Organism: Ictidomys tridecemlineatus (thirteen-lined ground squirrel)
Lineage: Eukaryota; Metazoa; Chordata; Mammalia; Rodentia; Sciuridae
Source: RefSeq, a predicted model, not a curated record
GUUUCAGAACUUAAAGAUACAAAUUCCUUUCCAGAGUUGUACAAACUGAGUACAAAUGGGUUAAUUCACCCAAAAGUUUGAUUCAUCUAUUUUAAAGCAAACCAAGAUAAGAAUGAAUGAACAAGUGACAACUCAAGGAGUCACAUCAUGAAAGUACAAUUCAUGGUGAUUUCUUUGCAGGUCUGUACCUUCUUCAGAAUAUGACUCUGCAAUUAAAGAACAAAAACAAAAACAAACAAAAUCUCCCCUGUGCCUUUAAAUGAAGUGUCUGAGUUGAUUUUAUUAGAAAGUUUUUGACCCCUUAGUCUUCCCAAAAAGGGCCAGAGGUUUUAGAUUUCCUGUUUGGAUGAAGGUAGCAUGUCUCUUCGUUUUUCUGGUUGAUGUACUCCGGAUACGUAGGUCUGAGAGAACACAAUCUGAAUGAAAGAAGAUGCAAGUGAAAGGCGUUACCAAGCAAGGUGGCUUAUGCUGAUGAAGCAGUUAGAAAAGCCCCAAAUGGACUCUCCUGAUCAAGGCCUAAAGACUUACCAACUCCUCAGUUCCAGAGACAGGCACUGAUGAAGGAAAGUGGAAUUCCUAAAGCAACAUCAAAAUUUUUAGAUGAAGAUUUCCCAAAAGGAGUGGAGAACCCCAUGAUGGAGGUCUAAGAAGAAGGUACUAAGAAAGGAGGAACUAGACCUGAGCAAGAGCAAGGAAUUUAGGAUCCUGGGUCAAAAAAGCAUGCUCGCAGUAACGGGACACAGCCCUAUCUGUUAAUAUUUCACUCCACCUCUACUUGUCUCCUUCAUACAGCCAUUUUCUAAAAUUUGAUUAGUGUGAAUAAAAAAAAAGUCUUUCAAAUCUU